GACGAACGCUGGCGGCGUGCUUAACACAUGCAAGUCGAACGGCAAGGCCCUGCUUUUGUGGGGUGCUCGAGUGGCGAACGGGUGAGUAACACGUGAGUAACCUGCCCUUGACUUUGGGAUAACUUCAGGAAACUGGGGCUAAUACCGGAUAGGAGCUCCUGCUGCAUGGUGGGGGUUGGAACGUUUCGGCGGUUGGGGAUGGACUCGCGGCUUAUCAGCUUGUUGGUGGGGUAGUGGCUUACCAAGGCUUUGACGGGUAGCCGGCCUGAGAGGGUGACCGGCGACAAGGGGACUAAGGGACGGCCCAGACGCGUACAGGGGGCAGCAGUGGGGAAUAUUGCACAAUGGGCGGAAGCCUGAGGCAGCAACGCCGCGGGCGGGAUGACGGCCUGCGGGGUGUAAACCGCUGUCGCCUGUUACGAAGCGGGAGUGACGGUAAUGGGAAAAGAAGCACCGGCUAACUACGUG
RNAcentral lists this ribosomal RNA (468 nucleotides) under uncultured bacterium. RNAcentral describes it as "partial 16S ribosomal RNA". It matches the Rfam family "Bacterial small subunit ribosomal RNA", at positions 28 to 507 of the family's 1533-position model. The record is from RNAcentral.